GUUAAGGGGGCCCGUAGAAGCAAACAAGGAAAAUAAACAGGGGUGGAGGUGGACCCAGAGGGCCCUCACUCGGUACUUCCGUAGGUGAACCUGCGGAAGGAUCACUACCGAGUGAGGGCCCUCUGGGUCCAACCUCCCACCCGUGUUUAUUUUACCUUGUUGCUUCGGCGGGCCCGCCUUAACUGGCCGCCGGGGGGCUUACGCCCCCGGGCCCGCGCCCGCCGAAGACACCCUCGAACUCUGUCUGAAGAUUGAAGUCUGAGUGAAAAUAUAAAUUAUUAAAACUCAACAA
This 292-nucleotide unclassified non-coding RNA is filed under the name Penicillium chrysogenum. RNAcentral describes it as "sequence contains ITS1". Lineage: Eukaryota; Fungi; Ascomycota; Eurotiomycetes; Eurotiales; Aspergillaceae. The record is from RNAcentral.